This 80-nucleotide transfer RNA is filed under the name Phyllobacterium zundukense. Its description in RNAcentral is "tRNA-Arg". The stretch from base 17 to 77 matches the Rfam family "tRNA". Rfam says of the family: Transfer RNA (tRNA) molecules are approximately 80 nucleotides in length. Their secondary structure includes four short double-helical elements and three loops (D, anti-codon, and T loops). Lineage: Bacteria; Pseudomonadati; Pseudomonadota; Alphaproteobacteria; Hyphomicrobiales; Phyllobacteriaceae. The record is from RNAcentral.
GGGUGUCUGAAGGGUGAAAUCCGUAAGAUUGCAGAUUCCUAAUCUGUAGGCCACUGGUUCGAAUCCAGUCGGGAUCACCA